UGCUGGCUCUCAGAGUAGCCCUGAGAGAACAAAUUGGAGACACAGAAAUUGAAAGGCCAAUUUGGAAAGAAGGGACGUUUAUAAGGAAUGAUGAAGAUGAACUGAUCAUCAGCAGGAACUGCAUAAUUAACCACCAGUUCCAGCUCAGUGAAACUGAGUAUGAAGCUGAGGAAGGAGGUGGUUGCAAUGCAACACACACUGUAUCAAAGACAAGCCAGGAGUGCUGACCGGCUCUAUCUCAAGGGACUGUGGCCCUCCAAUGGAAGAGCAGUGGAGUGCCAAAUGAGGUCAGGAAAGAGGAUUUUAAAAUGCCAUUAAAUAAAAUUGAAGGAUGCAAGUACA
Long non-coding RNA from Pantherophis guttatus, 342 nucleotides. RefSeq lists it as uncharacterized. The record is from RefSeq and is a predicted model, not a curated record. NCBI's taxonomy places the organism in Eukaryota, Metazoa, Chordata, Lepidosauria, Squamata, Colubridae.